Molecule: long non-coding RNA, 981 nt
Organism: Carassius auratus (goldfish)
Lineage: Eukaryota; Metazoa; Chordata; Actinopteri; Cypriniformes; Cyprinidae
Exons: 4
Source: RefSeq, a predicted model, not a curated record
CUGUUUGGGCUUGUUCUGACGGCACCCAUUCACUGCAGAGGAUCCAUUGGUGAGCAAGUGAUAUAAUGCUACAUUUCCUCAAAACUGUUCCAAUGAAGAAAUGCUCAUCUACAGCUUGGAUGGCCUUAUAUAGAGAUGAGGGGGAGGCGUGCUGACGUUGACCCAGAAGUGAAGUGAUGCGUGGAGGACAGACAGCAGUAACAGCAAGAGAGAACAGGUUGCUUAACAGUUGCUUUUCUACAGGCCAAAUUAAAGUCAUUUUGUGACUGACACGACUAAUUCAGUACUCCGCAAGCUGGCUGUUGAUUGGUUCCCCUCAGGCCUGCCACAGACAGCAUCAGGAUACAGAACUGUUUCCCAUUCAUGGUACUCUCAGAUGAGACGGAGGAUUCAGGGCUGGAUUAGCAGUGUUGACAGGUGUAAAACCCACAAACAAGAGGAGAAAGUCUGUGUGCACGUAUGCGUACAGAUGUGAGCGUAUCUGCUUCCUUGCAACAAAUAUCUCAACUUUCACUUCAAUCCUGCACUUUUUUUUGUGAACAUAAAAAAAAAAAUAUCCAUUUGGAUCAAAAACCCAAUAUCACAAUGGAGCACUGAAGAUAUAUUUUCUGUUUCAUUCGUCUGUAAAAUCCCAAGGCUUAUAGAAAAAUAAGUGGGUAUUACUCUGGAGAUGGUUUGGAUAUUACACAGAGUACGACAAAAGAUCAGGGUAUGAGAGAGAGUUAUCUCCAGCUUUGCUCUACAGGCCACAUUUACGGCUCAAGCUGAAGGAAAUCGCAUUAAAAUUUCAAGCUUUGUUAAGUUUAAUCUUCAGGACGAUCGUUUUAAAUGAAUGUGCUUUCGAAUACAGACUUCAUCAGCAAUUUGGAUACUUUUGCUAGCAUCUCUCAUUCACUUUGACCUUCUGUGAAGAUUCAGCCUGUUUAAACAUGACUAUGAAAUGGGUUUAGGACAAUAUAUGCCAGGGGGUUUUAAUGAAAA